AGAAUUAAAGCUUUUUGACGUAGGGUGAUAUAUCAAAGAAGAAGGAUGAAAUAUAUAUAUAUAAAGAACAAGACCCUCUCGAUCAAAACAAAAUCUUUUUAUAAACUCUUGUUAUAUACUAUAUAUAUAUAUAUAUAUAUAUAUAUAUAUAUAUAUAUGUAUGUAUAUGUAUCAUCAAUUAAUGUUUCUUGGGGAUCGGAACUAUGCUGGUUGGCAAGGAAGAAUAAGUAGUCUUGAGUAGCUUGUAGUUGCUGUGGGUGUUGCUGCUAAUCAUCAUCUUCACAUUAUUAUUUGGCUUCAUCCUCAUCAUCUCAUCAUCAUCAUCAUCGCUGUUAUUAUUAUUAAUAACAUGAUCACCAUCGGACGAUAGAACUUCGAAUUGCUGCUGCUGUUUGUUGAUGAUGGUGUCUGCAGGUAGGGGGCGGGGGUAAUAGAAAUCUGUGGGGAAGAAGUAGUACUGAAGCCCAGCCAUUAAUUAAUUGAUUAUAUGCUCGCUCGAUCUCUCUCUCUCUCUUUGUUGUCUGGAAUAUCUCUAGCUAAAAGUUUUUAAUUUUGUGGUGCUUCUGUGAUCACUUUAUGUUAAUUUAUAGAGGGAUCGAGAGGCCGAGAGGGAGAGGGAGAGAAGAAUAUUCAAAGAAACUAGUUAGUUUAUGUACGUAUUCAAUAUUACUGACUUGGGCACUACGUUAAUCUGUU
This 696-nucleotide long non-coding RNA is filed under the name Panax ginseng (ginseng). RNAcentral describes it as "long non-coding RNA (PGIN_LNC010233)". Lineage: Eukaryota; Viridiplantae; Streptophyta; Magnoliopsida; Apiales; Araliaceae. The record is from RNAcentral.